UACGGGGGGGGUAAGCGUUGUUCGGAAUUACUGGGCGUAAAGGGCUCGUAGGCGGCCAACUAAGUCAUACGUGAAAUCCCUCAGCUUAACUGGGGAACUGCGUGUGAUACUGGAUGGCUUGGAUUUGGGAGAGGGAUGCGGAAUUCCAGGUGUAGCGGUGAAAUGCGUAGAUAUCUGGAGGAACACCGGUGGCGAAAGCGGCGCGCUGGACCACUACUGACGCUGAGGAACGAAAGCUAGGGGAGCAAACAGG
This 253-nucleotide ribosomal RNA is filed under the name uncultured bacterium. Its description in RNAcentral is "partial 16S ribosomal RNA". It matches the Rfam family "Bacterial small subunit ribosomal RNA", at positions 524 to 776 of the family's 1533-position model. The record is from RNAcentral.